AUGUCGGGCAGUCUGCUCCCUGCGGCUCCGGCCAUGCCUUGGGUUGUUCUCGUGGCCGUGGCCGUGGGCAUGUUAGCUGCGUGGUUAAUCCAUUUGGUCAUGAGAUGGAACAUGGGUCCACGAUGCAGCGCAGGGGCACUGCUGCCGCCGGGGUCAAGGGGUCUCCCGCUCCUCGGGGAGACGCUCGAGUUCUUUGCCCGGAACCCAUCGCUGGAGCUCAGCCCCUUCUUGAAGCGACGCCUGGAUAGGUACGGUCCAAUUUUUAGGACAAAUUUGAUUGGUGAAGACCUCAUUGUCUCCAUGGAUCCAGAGUUGAACAACUUAGUGUUCCAAAAGGAGGAGAAGCUAUUCCAAAUUUGGUAUCCGGAGUCAAUCAUGAGAAUCAUGGGAGCCGACUGCAUUAUUGCGACACUUGGGACCUUCCACAAGCACCUCAGGACUCUGGUACUUCGGCUCUUUGGCCCAGAAAAUCUCAGGCUAGUUCUGCUCCAUGAAGUGCAGCAGACGGCCCAGGCUAGUCUACUCUCCUGGCUUGAUCAUCCUAGCAUCGAAGUGAAAGAGGCAAUCUCUAGUAUGAUAUUCAGCAUCACGGCAAGGCGAUUAAUCAGCUAUGACUCCUCAAGAUCGGAUGGGAAGUUGUGGAAGCAAUUCGAUGCAUUUCUUCAAGGACUACUAGCAUUUCCACUUUACGUUCCCGGCACAGCAUUCUACAAAUGUAUGCAGGGCCGGAAGAAUGUCAUGAAGAUUUUGCAGGAAAUGCUAAAUGAGAGGAAGAAGGAAACACAUCGGGAGAGUGUUGACUUUAUCGAUCUCUUGAUCAACGAUAUGAAGGAGAAGAACACUAUAAUGAAUGAGAAAAUUGCAUUGGAUUUGCUCUUCUUAUUAUUGUUCGCAGGCUUUGAAACCACGUCAUCUGGUAUAACUGCGGCACUCAAGUUUCUAGCCGAUGAUCCUAAGGCGUUGCAGGAACUAAUAGAGGAGCACAACAACAUUCGGAAAAGAAGGAUUGAUCCUGACUCUGAAAUCACAUGGGAGGAAUACAAGUCCAUGAAAUUUACAUCUCAUGUCAUACAUGAGGCAUUAAGGCUGGCUAACAUUGCUCCCUUAAUGUUUAGAAAAGCAAUAGAGGAAGUUCAUAUUAAAGGUUACACUCUCCCAAAAGGAUCAAAGAUCAUGGUUAAUCCUUCUAGCAUUCAUUUGGAUCCUACGGUUUACAAGGAUCCCACUGUGUUCAAUCCCUGGAGGUGGAAGGAUACUACUGAACCAGCUGGUGGCUCCUCAAAGGAGUUCAUGGCCUUUGGAGGCGGGCUACGAUUAUGUGUUGGUGCCGACUUUGCUAAGCUACAAAUGGCCAUCUUCCUGCAUUGCUUAGUCACCAAAUAUAGUUGGACAGCGGUCAAGGGAGGAACCAUGGCGCUUUCUCCUGGACUACAGUUUCCUGAUGGUUUUCACAUACAACUUGUCCCAAAAGCUUGA
RNAcentral lists this ribosomal RNA (1476 nucleotides) under Triticum aestivum (bread wheat). Its description in RNAcentral is "partial small subunit ribosomal RNA". Lineage: Eukaryota; Viridiplantae; Streptophyta; Magnoliopsida; Poales; Poaceae. The record is from RNAcentral.